RNAcentral lists this ribosomal RNA (253 nucleotides) under uncultured bacterium. Its description in RNAcentral is "partial 16S ribosomal RNA". It matches the Rfam family "Bacterial small subunit ribosomal RNA", at positions 524 to 776 of the family's 1533-position model. The record is from RNAcentral.
UACGGAGGGGGCUAGCGUUGUUCGGAAUUACUGGGCGUAAAGGGCUCGUAGGCGGCCAGCUAAGUCGGACGUGAAAUCCCCAGGCUCAACCUGGGAAUUGCGUCCGAUACUGGAUGGCUUGAAUCCGGGAGAGGGAUGCAGAAUUCCAGGUGUAGCGGUGAAAUGCGUAGAUAUCUGGAGGAACACCGGUGGCGAAGGCGGCAUCCUGGACCGAUAUUGACGCUGAUGCGCGAAAGCCAGGGGAGCAAACGGG